Molecule: long non-coding RNA, 1071 nt
Filed under: Eucalyptus grandis
Lineage: Eukaryota; Viridiplantae; Streptophyta; Magnoliopsida; Myrtales; Myrtaceae
Description: long non-coding RNA (EGRA_LNC000560)
Source: RNAcentral
GGUGUCAGAAAGUUCAAUGUCAACACGGAGAUGCGGAAGGCAUACAUGGAAUGCUUGAGCGAACCCAAAAAAGAUCUUGUCAAUGUCAUGUCGUCCGCAAAGGAAGCUAUGAAGGCUGUCGUUGCAGAAAAGAUGCGCCUCUUUGGUUCAGCUGGAAAAGCAUGAUGACAAAAGCUGUUAUGUAAUUCUUCACCAGUUUCUCAAGGGAUUUGAAUAAGUGGUACUCACCUGGAGAUGUGAAGUAUAUUAAUUUCGAGAAUAAUGAGACAUCUCCAUUGUUUUCCACUAUAUACUUGGUGUCCCUGUGGCAUUUGUGAAAAGAUAUAUGGUCUCAUGUGUGAUGAGAUGGAUCAACCAAAAAUAUCAUCUGUCAAAAUUGCUCACAGAUAUCCUAAACAUUAAAGCAAUGACGAAGUGCACUUCUUUGGUUCAGCUGGAAGAGCAUGAUGACAAAAGCUGUUAUGUAAUUCUUCACCAGUUUCUCAAGGGAUUUGAAUAAGUGGUACUCACCUGGAGAUGUGAAGUAUAUUAAUUUCGAGAAUAAUGAGACAUCUCCAUUGUUUUCCACUAUAUACUUGGUGUCCCUGUGGCAUUUGUGAAAAGAUAUAUGGUCUCAUGUGUGAUGAGAUGGAUCAACCAAAAAUAUCAUCUGUCAAAAUUGCUCACAGAUAUCCUAAACAUUAAAGCAAUGACGAAGUGCACUUCUUUGGUUCAGCUGGAAGAGCAUGAUGACAAAAGCUGUUAUGUAAUUCUUCACCAGUUUCUCAAGGGAUUUGAAUAAGUGGUACUCCCCUGGAGAUGUGAAGUAUAUUAAUUUCGAGAAUAAUGAGACAUCUCCAUUGUUUUCCACUAUAUACUUGGUGUCCCUGUGGCAUUUGUGAAAAGAUAUAUGGUCUCAUGUGUGAUGAGAUGGAUCAACCAAAAAUAUCCUCUAUCAAAAUUGCUCACAGAUAUCCUAAGAUUAAAGCAUUGAUGAAGUGCACUUCUUUGGUUCAGCUGGAAAGCAUCAUGACAAAAGCCGUCAUGUUAUUCUCCACCAAUUUCUCAAGGAGUUGGAUAAGUGGUAUUGAC